GCCCUAGUAACGGCGAGUGAAGCGGCAAUAGCUCAAAUUUGAAAGCUGGCCUUUGGUCCGCAUUGUAAUUUGUAGAGGAUGCUUUUAGGCAGCCGCCGGUCUAAGUUCCUUGGAACAGGACGUCAUAGAGGGUGAGAAUCCCGUAUGUGACCGGCUCAGGCACCUUCUGUAAAGCUCCUUCGACGAGUCGAGUUGUUUGGGAAUGCAGCUCUAAAUGGGAGGUAAAUUUCUUCUAAAGCUAAAUACUGGCGAGAGACCGAUAGCGCACAAGUAGAGUGAUCGAAAGAUGAAAAGUACUUUGGAAAGAGAGUUAAAAAGCACGUGAAAUUGUUGAAAGGGAAGCGCUUGCAAUCAGACUUGGCCUCGGUUGUUCAACCGGUCUUUUGACCGGCCUAUUCAAUCGGGGGCAGGCCAGCAUCAGUUUCGGCGGCCGGAUAAAGGCCUUGGGAAUGUGGCCUCUCCUUCGGGGGAGGUGUUAUAGCCCAGGGUGUAAUACGGUCAGCUGGGACUGAGGUCCGCGCUUCGGCUAGGAUGCUGGCGUAAUGGUUGUAAGCGGCCCGUCUUGAAACACGGACCAAGGAGUCUAACAUCUAUGCGAGUGUUAGGGUGUCAAACCCUUACGCGUAAUGAAAGUGAACGGAGGUGGGAACCCGCAAGGGUGCACCAUCGACCGAUCCUGAUGUCUUCGGAUGGAUUUGAGUAAGAGCAUAGCUGUUGGGACCCGAAAGAUGGUGAACUAUGCCUGAAUAGGGUGAAGCCAGAGGAAACUCUGGUGGAGGCUCGCAGCGGUUCUGACGUGCAAAUCGAUCGUCAAAUUUGGGUAUAGGGGCGAAAGACUAAUCGAACCAUCUAGUAGCUGGUUCCUGCCGAAG
This 872-nucleotide ribosomal RNA is filed under the name uncultured fungus. RNAcentral's name for it is "LSU rRNA". It matches the Rfam family "Eukaryotic large subunit ribosomal RNA", at positions 77 to 966 of the family's 3401-position model. The record is from RNAcentral. Lineage: Eukaryota; Fungi.